GUGGAUUAGUGGCGAACGGGUGAGUAACACGUGGGCAAUCUGCCCUUCACUCUGGGACAAGCCCUGGAAACGGGGUCUAAUACCGGAUAACACCCUCCAUCUCAUGGUGGGGGGUUAAAAGCUCCGGCGGUGAAGGAUGAGCCCGCGGCCUAUCAGCUUGUUGGUGGGGUAAUGGCCUACCAAGGCGACGACGGGUAGCCGGCCUGAGAGGGCGACCGGCCACACUGGGACUGAGACACGGCCCAGACUCCUACGGGAGGCAGCAGUGGGGAAUAUUGCACAAUGGGCGAAAGCCUGAUGCAGCGACGCCGCGUGAGGGAUGACGGCCUUCGGGUUGUAAACCUCUUUCAGCAGGGAAGAAGCGAAGGUGACGGUACCUG
This 380-nucleotide ribosomal RNA is filed under the name Streptomyces sp. RNAcentral describes it as "bacterial SSU rRNA". It matches the Rfam family "Bacterial small subunit ribosomal RNA", at positions 87 to 481 of the family's 1533-position model. The record is from RNAcentral. Lineage: Bacteria; Bacillati; Actinomycetota; Actinomycetes; Kitasatosporales; Streptomycetaceae.